This 71-nucleotide transfer RNA is filed under the name Pictichromis paccagnellae (royal dottyback). RNAcentral's name for it is "tRNA-Gly". Lineage: Eukaryota; Metazoa; Chordata; Actinopteri; Pseudochromidae. The record is from RNAcentral.
AUCUUUCUAGUAUCAAAACAGUACUUGUGACUUCCAAUCACUCAGUCUUGGUUCAAGUCCAAGGAAAGAUA